RNAcentral lists this ribosomal RNA (313 nucleotides) under Escherichia coli. Its description in RNAcentral is "partial 23S ribosomal RNA". It matches the Rfam family "Bacterial large subunit ribosomal RNA", at positions 612 to 927 of the family's 2925-position model. The record is from RNAcentral. Lineage: Bacteria; Pseudomonadati; Pseudomonadota; Gammaproteobacteria; Enterobacterales; Enterobacteriaceae.
AUAAUGGGUCAGCGACUUAUAUUCUGUAGCAAGGUUAACCGAAUAGGGGAGCCGAAGGGAAACCGAGUCUUAACUGGGCGUUAAGUUGCAGGGUAUAGACCCGAAACCCGGUGAUCUAGCCAUGGGCAGGUUGAAGGUUGGGUAACACUAACUGGAGGACCGAACCGACUAAUGUUGAAAAAUUAGCGGAUGACUUGUGGCUGGGGGUGAAAGGCCAAUCAAACCGGGAGAUAGCUGGUUCUCCCCGAAAGCUAUUUAGGUAGCGCCUCGUGAAUUCAUCUCCGGGGGUAGAGCACUGUUUCGGCAAGGGGGU